This 1011-nucleotide long non-coding RNA is filed under the name Monodelphis domestica (gray short-tailed opossum). RNAcentral describes it as "lncRNA (ENSMODG00000049646.1)". Lineage: Eukaryota; Metazoa; Chordata; Mammalia; Didelphimorphia; Didelphidae. The record is from RNAcentral.
GUUUCAAGCACAAGAUUGGACUAGAAUAUACUCCUGGGUCCCUUCUGGCUCCAGGAUUUCAAGAGUGCUUGACUUUUAAUCCUAUACCAAUGGUCUUACAAGUAUACAGACUUUAACAGGAAAUGAGAUGAGGUGAAGGAAUGUGGGUGAAGCUGUGCAAAUCUAUCACGAUUCCUACAUAAAGUACUUAAAGAACGUGCUACACAAAGUAGUCUCUAAAGACCUUUCCAGGCUCUUAAUUCUGUGAUUCGGUGGCUUUCUCUUAGAUGAUAGUAGGCAUUGAUACAGUCUUUAUACCAGGAAGAUACCCCAGUACCCAGGGUGUGACAGAGAAACUCAGGAAUUCUAGUUAAGAUACCAUCCCCAUUCCUGUAAAAGGUGAAAAGUUAUUAUAGUUCAAGGGAGGUGGUGGAUUAACCACUGGCCUGAGAAACACAAUAGCUCUCAAGGUGGACUAGAAUGUAGAACCCACACUAUUGGAGGAGACAAUAGAAGAGAAUGCAGAGUGUGAUCCAAUAGAAUGAAACCAAAUGGGGAAUAAGGUGGAAGAGACAAUGGAAGUGGUCAAGAAUCUUGGGUGGGAAUAUAGAGGAGGUAGGGUAGGGAAGGAUGACUCGGUCUUGUGAAAACCCACCACAUGGAGAAAUCAAAACCUUACCAACAGGAGAAGUCAAAUGCCUUGUAAAGGCAGGCUAAGAAGACAACCAGUGACAUCAUGGGGCUGGUGUCAACUUUGGUAUUCAUUCAUCAAGGAAGGUUUUUUUAGAAGAUGUGGGCCUUGAAGAACGGGACUCGUGGGACCUCAGAACUUGAAAGGGACUCAGUGAGGAUCCAGUGUAACCCACAGUGAAUAAGAAUUACAUCUCUGUAAAGGCAUCAAUGAGUCAGUUCCUGCAUGAAGGCCUCUAGAUGUGGGAGAAGAAAAUUUAUUAAACACCUGCCAUGUCCAGAGCACUGUGCUAGGCACUGGAAAAAUACCAAAUUUGAAUAAAAUCCAGUCUCCUGCCCUCA